Solanum lycopersicum (tomato) is the source of this 5026-nucleotide non-coding RNA. NCBI's taxonomy places the organism in Eukaryota, Viridiplantae, Streptophyta, Magnoliopsida, Solanales, Solanaceae. The record is from RefSeq and is a predicted model, not a curated record.
UUCACGCUAAUAAAAAUAUUCGACAUAGUUCUCGAAGCAAUCAACCAUUUCUGCGCUUUCUUUCACCGACAAAUAAAGAACAACUCAAAGUCUCUCUAUUUUGUUUUAUUUUUUGCUUCCAAACCUGAUUUCUUGGCACCUUUAAGUUCAAUUUUACAGUUCUAUUGUCUUCUCAACAAUAUCUUUCGUAAUUGGAUGCUCCAAAAUCAAGUUUGGAUUACCAUUCCUAAAGACCAUCAUGGCCAGAAGCAAGCCAUUGAAGAGGAUUUUGACUAUGAGCACAGUGGGUUCGAGCCACUGUUCUAGGAGCAAAUGGCGAAUUAGUUUCUAUUGCAUCUUUUGUCAGUUCUCUAUUUGUCCUCACUGUCGAUUUCAAUUUCUCUGCUAUUUCUUUGAACUUCCAUAUAAUUAUUUCAAGAGUUUUAGUUUCCUCUUGUGCAUUAAUUGACUAAUGCUGCUUGUUGUGCUGGUUAGGAAAAUUGUGGAUGUAUUUAGACGAAAAAGAUUAAAUUUGUUUCAGAUAUUGUAAUUCUUGGGUCCUCUCAAAGAUGUUGUGACAAGCAUAUGUCCUACAAUUUCUUGUCAACCUCCUCUCAAUAUAUCUCCCUAUUUUCUUUUUAAGUGUUAUAAUCAAGAUAAUAAAAGGAUAGAACAAUAUGUUACUGACAAAAGUUCAAAAUUGUUGCUUAGAGCUUAGAAUUAUAAUGCUAUUUAUAAUGUAAAGAUCAGCAAAAGUGGAUACAUUUGAAAAAUAAGAGCUUCCAACUAUUUGAAAGUUGUAGACAAAAACAACAACAUACUCAGUGUAGUCCCACAAAAUGAUGUUUGCACUUUGUGGAGGGUAGAGUGUAUGCAAAACCUUAGUUAUGCCUUAGAGGUAAAGAGAAUGUUGUAUUAUUGAUGACAUGAAAUUAAUGAUAUGAAAAUUGAUCUUGCUUUGGCCUACUUAAAGGAAGGAAUAUUCAAUAGCUAAUACGCUUUCAUACUUUUUUUCAAACUGUAAACUUUAUAUGCUUCUCUAUUUUGAGUAUUUGUUCUUCAAUAUUCUCCUUUAUGUUGUGUUAAGCUACAGUUGAGACAAUUAAAGGAGCAAAUAUACUCCUUACUCUACAAAUUCAUGUGUCACCUUAGGCUUCUUAUAUGACCUCAUAUGUGACGAGACUCAGUACUGAGGUGCACAUUAUUUUGUCGCUCCUCCUUGGGUAAACACUGAAGAUAAUCUUCGCUAUGAAGUUUAUUUGGUUCAUGUUUCUCUUUUUUUUAUUUCAAUAAUUUGAAGUAAAUAUAAUUUUUUUUUACCAUAGUUGUGUGAAAAAAUACUUGACUAAUUUGUAGACGGAAUCAUAUUCAUGGGCAACUGCACUUUCUCAAAGCAUUUAAAUGUAUAAAGGUGAAACAAAAAGUGAUCGCAUGUGCUUUGUGUUAAAGAGAUAAAAUGUUGCUGCAUUAUAUGUUUACGAACUAAUAAAUUAUAUUGAUGAAAAUUUGUUGGUUAAGAGAUUAUUGCACCUAGCUAUGUAACUUAUUAUGCCGCCACAGUACUGCACUCUUUAAUGUAUGAUUACAUAGGAGUUGUAUUAAUAAAGUUAUUUGUUAUCUUUAAUUUCAAGAACUCUGGAGUUACAAUUACAAGCAGCAUAAACCUACAAAGGUAAAUGAUGCUAUAUUACUUCACCCAAUCAAGGCAUAAACUAUUACUUUCUACGUUAUUGAUAUAACUAAUAUUCUAUAAGUGACAUUAUCAUGAAUGAAGUAAAUUGGACAUUGUUAAUUGAUGUCAACUCAUUUGAGUGUUUUGGAUUUGCCGAUGCUUACCUAGAGUUUGUUUAAGUGUACUCUCAAUUAGACAUAGAGCAAGAUCAAAUGAAGAUAGACAACGCAACAUGAGGACAGAACCAAGAACAGGAAAAAGAUAACGAGGAACAACUGCCAAAUUCAUUCCAGACAGUAGUAACCUUGGCUAUUUCAUUUUCAUCGAGUAUCAUUGUGCCAAUUUUCUUUGCUGCAUUUGUAGCAAAUUAUAAGGUGAGAUUAGUUGUGAAUGGUGAAUGUGGUUGCAAUGAGCUUGUCAGUUGUCAUUGUUAGGAUUUGGAGGAAUUGGUACUUUUUAAGCACAAGUCCUAUGGUGAAAUCUUGUCCAAGAGUUUUAAUUGGAGGCAAGAUGGUUAUGGUCAUUACCUGUUGCCUUGUUAAGUUAAUUGGCUCUACUACAAGUAUUUCUUUCUAUUUUGGAUCUACUGUAAGUUUUUUUUUUUUAAAAAAAGAAUUAAUUCAAUGGACCAAUGCUUAUUUCAAAUGCCGAAAAAAAGAAGUGGUUCUAAAUUGCAUUUAAAACACGUUAUUGUUGUACAUGGUGAUUGAAUAGGAGUGAAUAAAGACUAAUUUUAUCACGGGUCUCCUUGAAUACUUUCUAUUCAAAAUAUGGGGAUUUCACUCCAUCAUGCAAGUUGUUUGAUUUUUCUCACAAUAAAUAUUUUUCUUUAUUAAGAAAACACAGUGUGUUAAAAGCCAUUAUGUUACCCAAGAUCCUCGAGCAAAAAGAAUAUAAUUUGCCCACGUAGCAAGUAAACCAUUUAAGUUCUUGGUUUACUUACUAUGAAAUCUACAUCUUCGAGUUUUUACCCCCUUUUAAUGUUCCAAAUUUAUCUCUCUUUCUAAUGUUUCUUACGAUCAUCUUUACUGUCAGUUAAUAAAGCCUAAUGUCGUUUCAUUAUUUCUUUGCUAUCUUCAGCACAUUCUUAAUUGAUUUUGAUUUGUUUGGACUUUGUUCUUUCGGAUGCAUUCUUGAUUUGGUCAAGUUAUAUUCGAUUAUGUGUUUUUCAAUUUUAAUGGGCAUUGAGUUCUUAAAGUUAUACUUUUCAUGCUUACGAAAAAAAGCAUCAAUCAAUUAAUAGAAGGAUAAUUUUGAUCACCAGUGCAGAUUUGGUCCUAAUUAAGAAUGAAAAGGUGAGAUAAGGAGAAAUCAAUGAGAGACAUCAAAUAACUGUGCCAUAGUAAUGCAAACUUAUCAGCUGAACAUUAAUUAGUCUUUCAACGCCUGGGAAGGCAGUCGUAGAAACGAAGCCUAUCGCCACGCAGGACAUUAAGAGUCACACUCUUAAGGUUGCAGUCAUCAGAACCCACACAAAUAUUGCCUAUGGUAUGAUUUGUUAUUUGCUUUCAAGUGUAGAGGUUUGUUUUUAUUUGUGCAUAACAUGUCUGAUAAAUAAGAGAAUGAUCUAUUGAUUCUAAGUAAAUAUGAGUUAAACUUACCUUCUGUGACAUAUCCUUAUUAUAUAAUACUAUCAACACUUUUAGCUGAUUGAUAAAGUUUUGUCUAAUCUCCAUUUUAUUUGUCUCUUCUCUUUGUUUUGUUUAAUUUUACGUUCUCUUUGGAGGUAUUAAUAUUUUAAUUUAAACAAACACACUGAAAUUGCAUUGUUCAUGGACUAUAAUGAUGACCAGAUUAUUUGUGAAGACGUCAUUGCAUGUGUAAUUGAAAAGUUCUCCACACCACUGAUAGUAUUUAUAUUUUUCCCUAAACUUGACCAUGGACAUGUAAAGAAUAAGUAGUGGAUUAUACUGGUACACUGAACACAGUACGAAUAUCAUCUUUUACCAGUUAACUUACAAAAAACAAUGGUGCUUACAAGUAGAACAAUUUGAAUUAUUUCAGUUGCAACUUGAACACUGAUACCAAAUGCUUUGUUUUUCUUGUUGAAGCCACUCAAUCCUUUUUGCAAGCCCAAAAUGCAAAAUAUUGUCAUCAUCAAGUUUGCUUCUUUUUUUUUAAUGUUGUGAUAAUACACUACACCGAAAAUGAUCUUUAGUAGCAAUUAAUUAGUGAAGAGAGCUUAAUUGUUGCUAAAUAUGUUCUUAGAGGCAAUUAACAUUCUUUGUAAAUGUCUCUAAAGCCUAUUGAGACAUAGGAUCCAAUUACAAUUAACUAAUGCUUGUAACGGCUUUAGCACUCUUUGUUAAUGUGCAUGUUUAUUGCCGCUAAUAGUUUUUCUUUUUGUAGUUAUAGCUACUGUGAAUAUAUUACAAAAUGUGAGAUGGAUCAAUACUUGAAAGAUUUUGACUGAUCUCUUUCCAUAAUCAAACGGGUGGUUCUCCCUCAUAUGUUCGAUCAUCAUAACUAUCAUUAGAUUUUUGUUGACAUAACAACUUAUUCCCAUCUCUAGGAGUUGAGCAAAGAGUAUCUUAAUUUAUCAGAGGAAAACCAUAAUGCAUUGCACCUUGUUCUAACAAAUGAUCGCUCUUAAUACCGUUCUCUGCGUAAUUCUUGCCAUCUUCAUAAAUAAGGUAUGUUCGAUCCUCGCUACUCAAUAAUUUCACAAGCCCAAAAUGCAAAAUAUUGUCAUCAUCAAAUUUGCAUUUUUUCUACUAGUGUAAUAUUAGCUACUUGUGAAUUAUGAAAAAAGGAGGAGGUAAAUGCUUUGGCCCUAAUGAAAUAUGAGAUUGUUUACAUUUAGGUUAUAUGUUAAUGUUGACUAUUUACCCCAACUUUUGCUAUAACUAUCAAUUUCUAAUGGAUUAGUUUUUUAUUAUGGGAAAGUUGAACGUUGUCUUUCGAGAUCUUUAUUGUGGUCCCAGCAGGCCAGCACUUGUAAUUAUUAUAAUAUUUCGUUGUAAAUCAAUGAUAUAAUUGAGAAUAAUUUAAAACUUGAAACAGUGCUGCUAUUUUACUUUUGUUUUUAUAAAUAUAACAUGAUAAUAUAUUAACGAGGAUACCGACCAGUAUUAUCUGGACUAAUAUGAGAAAAAUAGAACUCAUAAAUGGUACAUGAAAGACUUCAUAUGUGCUUUUCAUUUUUUUUUCUACCUUGGUUCUAAACAUGGAUCUCUUUUUUCUUUGGAGCAUGUAUAGUUUAUUAACUUGUGUAAUCAUGUUGCGAGACCAAUGAACCUAAGCAAAAUGAUUUUUAUGGCUUUAUUCCAUUGAGGGUAUUUUCAUUUUAUUUUUUAUAAGAAACAUGUAUUAUAUCUAUAAUUUUAUUUGCCUGUACUAAAAAUUACAUACAAAUAUGACAAGUUUCUCCUCAAA